RNAcentral lists this long non-coding RNA (764 nucleotides) under Homo sapiens (human). Its description in RNAcentral is "HSALNT0026027". The record is from RNAcentral. Lineage: Eukaryota; Metazoa; Chordata; Mammalia; Primates; Hominidae.
GACAUGUUGACAUGCGAUAUUUUAGCUGGAAUGCCAGCAUCAGUUCAUGAAAUAUUCUGGAUGAAUAACAACGUCUCUUUAGCAGGUACUUGAGCCCCACUAAACAAUCACCUACACAGACAGAGAGGAAGGUGUGGUUUCUUUCAAUGUAUCCCUGCCCUUCAGGAGAUAGCAGGCUUUGGUGUGAGGAUGCUGCCAGGAAAUGCUGAGCCUCCAGGCCUCACCCCGUGAUGCUUCCCCUGCUCAGGUGUCUGCAUUAGGCAAUGAGCUCAGUAGCAGCAGAUGCAGCUCCCCAGGCCUCCCACACCAAUGCAGCGUUGCUCAAACCACGCACUUUGGGCAGAUUCACCCCACUUAUCUCCACGGGGCCUUCCCAGCCAGCAAACUGCUACGAGGGUGAGGAGAAGAAUAUGCAGCAGCUUCCUCAAUGUCAAGGUAUUAAGCACUGGUUGAUCCUCCUCUAUUCUCAAUUUCGUACAAGCCCGUAACUAUACAACAAUCACACUAAAAAAAAAAUCCACUCCAGCCACUUUCAAAGAGACCCAGAACACCACUGAGGAGGCGUGGCUCACCAAACAGACUGCCAGAUCCCACUGCCAGAUCCCACAGCUUUCUGAGACCCACAGCAGAUCCCGCAGCUGUGGCAGAGAGGGUGACGUAUGGCCCCCAGAAACUACCAUAGCGUCUGUCCUACAAAGCAAUAAAAUUGUAAACUACAAUUGUGAGAAACAUUUGAUUUCCUUAAAAAUCUCUUAUGUUGAAAA